Molecule: ribosomal RNA, 253 nt
Filed under: uncultured bacterium
Lineage: Bacteria
Description: partial 16S ribosomal RNA
Rfam family: Bacterial small subunit ribosomal RNA
Source: RNAcentral
UACGUAGGGUGCAAGCGUUGUCCGGAAUUAUUGGGCGUAAAGAGCUCGUAGGCGGUCUGUCGCGUCUGCUGUGAAAACUCGGGGCUUAACCCCGGGCCUGCAGUGGGUACGGGCAGACUAGAGUGCGGUAGGGGAGACUGGAAUUCCUGGUGUAGCGGUGAAAUGGGCAGAUAUCAGGAGGAACACCGGUGGCGAAGGCGGGUCUCUGGGCCAGUACUUACGCUGAGGAGCGAAAGCGUGGGGAGCAAACAGG